RNAcentral lists this ribosomal RNA (253 nucleotides) under uncultured bacterium. RNAcentral describes it as "partial 16S ribosomal RNA". It matches the Rfam family "Bacterial small subunit ribosomal RNA", at positions 524 to 776 of the family's 1533-position model. The record is from RNAcentral.
UACGGAGGGUGCAAGCGUUAUCCGGAUUCACUGGGUUUAAAGGGUGCGUAGGUGGGUUGGUAAGUCAGUGGUGAAAUCUCCAAGCUUAACUUGGAAACUGCCGUUGAUACUAUCAAUCUUGAAUCUCGUGGAGGUAAGCGGAAUAUGUCAUGUAGCGGUGAAAUGCUUAGAUAUGACAUAGAACACCGAUAGCGAAGGCAGCUUGCUACACGAGUAUCGACACUGAGGCACGAAAGCGUGGGGAUCAAACAGG